This 114-nucleotide ribosomal RNA is filed under the name Flavobacteriaceae bacterium. Its description in RNAcentral is "partial 16S ribosomal RNA". It matches the Rfam family "Bacterial small subunit ribosomal RNA", at positions 1 to 107 of the family's 1533-position model. Lineage: Bacteria; Pseudomonadati; Bacteroidota; Flavobacteriia; Flavobacteriales; Flavobacteriaceae. The record is from RNAcentral.
UUUUACAAUGAAGAGUUUGAUCCUGGCUCAGGAUGAACGCUAGCGGCAGGCCUAAUACAUGCAAGUCGAACGGUAACAUUGGUGCUUGCACCAGAUGACGAGUGGCGCACGGGU